RNAcentral lists this long non-coding RNA (510 nucleotides) under Vulpes vulpes (red fox). Its description in RNAcentral is "lncRNA (ENSVVUG00000018584.1)". The record is from RNAcentral. Lineage: Eukaryota; Metazoa; Chordata; Mammalia; Carnivora; Canidae.
UGCAUAUCUAAGUAACCAUGCUUUUGAUGAAGCAUUUAGAUACAUAUGAAAUCCACCUUCUUUUGAUUUUUUGUACUAGUGACUAAUCUCUCAUGGCACAAUUAAUCCAUGGCAUUAACAAUUUAACUCAUCAGUCAAAUGCAGAAAUAGCACCAAGCCAUCUUCUGUUCUACAGAUAUGGAUGGAUGUCUUCCUAGGACAUGGCUGAGCAGUUCUAUAGAAUAAACCUGGAGCUCUUAGUGACUCCAUGGAGAAGAGUUGCACAACAACCCUGAGGGAAUGCACCUGGCAGCUUGGAAAAAACUUACCAUCAUCAAUUUUAGGAAGUUUCUGACCCCUACCUAUAGCGUGGGUGGCUGCGUGGAUGGUGUUCUGUUAAAAACAGCAGAAGUGACUGUCUUUCUCACGGACUGCAAAAAUAAUAUUGAGUUCUUUUAAAUCUGUGAGAAAAAGAAAAUACACUUAUCUGCAAUGGAUAAUAAAAGGUAUCAAAUCAAUAGAAAAUUCUCA